AUUGAACGCUGGCGGCAGGCCUAACACAUGCAAGUCGAGCGGAUGAAGGGAGCUUGCUCCUGGAUUCAGCGGCGGACGGGUGAGUAAUGCCUAGGAAUCUGCCUUGUAGUGGGGGAUAACGUCCGUAAACGGGCGCUAAUACCGCAUACGUCCUGAUGUAGAAAGUGGGGGAUCUUCGGACCUCACGCUAUCAGAUGAGCCUAGGUCGCAUUAGCUAGUUGGUGGGGUAAAGGCCUACCAAGGCGACGAUCCGUAACUGGUCUGAGAGGAUGAUCAGUCACACUGGAACUGAGACACGGUCCAGACUCCUACGGGAGGCAGCAGUGGGGAAUAUUGGACAAUGGGCGAAAGCCUGAUCGAGCCAUGCCGCGUGUGUGAAGAAGGUCUUCGGAUUGUAAAGCACUUUAAGUUGGGAGGAAGGGAAGUAAGAUAAUCCCUUGCUGUUUUGACGUUACCAAAAGAAUAAGCACCGGCUAACUUCGUG
RNAcentral lists this ribosomal RNA (484 nucleotides) under uncultured bacterium. RNAcentral's name for it is "partial 16S ribosomal RNA". It matches the Rfam family "Bacterial small subunit ribosomal RNA", at positions 30 to 507 of the family's 1533-position model. The record is from RNAcentral.